This is a non-coding RNA of Lentinula aciculospora, 105 nucleotides long. NCBI's taxonomy places the organism in Eukaryota, Fungi, Basidiomycota, Agaricomycetes, Agaricales, Omphalotaceae. The record is from the annotation of a GenBank genome assembly.
GGGCACAUGGUGUAGUUCGUUAUCACAUCCGCUUAGCAUCAAAGGAAAGGAAGCUGCCGAAGGUGUUCGUGCGGGGGGUGCUGGGUUCUCUUCCCAUUGUGUCCA